AGUGAACGCUGGCGGUAGGCCUAACACAUGCAAGUCGAACGGCAGCACAGUAAGAGCUUGCUCUUACGGGUGGCGAGUGGCGGACGGGUGAGGAAUACAUCGGAAUCUACUUUUUCGUGGGGGAUAACGUAGGGAAACUUACGCUAAUACCGCAUACGACCUACGGUUGAAAGCAGGGGAUCUUCGGACCUUGCGCGAUUGAAUGAGCCGAUGUCGGAUUAGCUAGUUGGCGGGGUAAAGGCCCACCAAGGCGACGAUCCGUAGCUGGUCUGAGAGGAUGAUCAGCCACACUGGAACUGAGCCACGGUCCAGACUCCUACGGGAGGCAGCAGUGGGGAAUAUUGGACAAUGGGCGCAAGCCUGAUCCAGCCAUACCGCGUGGGUGAAGAAGGCCUUCGGGUUGUAAAGCCCUUUUGUUGGGAAAGAAAAGCAGCAGGUUAAUACCCCGCUGUUCUGACGGUACCCAAAGAAUAAGCACCGGCUAACUUCGUG
Molecule: ribosomal RNA, 492 nt
Filed under: uncultured bacterium
Lineage: Bacteria
Description: partial 16S ribosomal RNA
Rfam family: Bacterial small subunit ribosomal RNA
Source: RNAcentral